UCUCUCAUUUUUUCUGCAGUUAGUUUGCAUGUAUUCUUGUGACUUCCCUUUAGAAUCCUGAUUGAGGUCAUAAUGAUAGUGAAGACGCCACUGCUCAGCCCCUUAGCUCAUCUCCAUACAUGGCAACUUCCAUGCUGUCUUCCUCACAGGGAGAGUCACCCUCAGGUGCUGAUUACUGAGUUGGAAAUUGUUGAGAAACAAGUACAAAAUCAUGUAUCUCUUCUACUGCCAUGAUCAAGCCCCAGUUCACACAAAUGAUAACGCAAAAAACUUGAGCACACUGGAUUUUAUGUGGAAUCUUCUGGUGUAAUAACACGUUUCUGAUUUCAUGAGGUUUAAAUAUGUUGGUAAAAGAAUCAGUUCUGCACUUACUCAUUUACCUCCAUCCUGAACCAAAGUACUUACAAGAGAAUGUGAAAGUGAAUCAGAAGGGACGAACACACACAGAAAACCUUCCCUGACCUUUGGAAGUCAGAGAAUAGUCAACAAACUGAUUUAAGCAAUUUCACUGCUUUGAAGGUUUCAAAGAAGACUGAUUUCUGUUUGUUCAGCCACCAUUUGGAAGUGCAAAGAUCAAGGACAUCAAAAGUGUUAUCUGAACUUUUGAAUGUGUUUGUGAAAUUGCUAAUAUGUCAUGGAGGCAUUUUUCAGAGAUCUGCAUUGUGGCACUCUUUAUCUGUGUCAGUUUGGCAGGUGCCAUCUGAUCAAGUGAGUGGCCCUUCCGGCACACCAAAUGCCUUCCAAACUCCUUCCAAAGGCAUACCAGAGAGAAAAGAAAACCAGUCAUUUCCUGUGAUUGGGAGUUAGAGUCAACCAAAGGGCCUAUGAUGACUUCCUGAGGAUGUUUAGUUGGUCACUACAGUGGCUGACAGAUGGUGCAUGAAGCUUGUAGUCUACACUUCACAAGCAGCAGUAUUAAGUCUUCAAAAUCAUAAAGAAGUGCAGUCACGCUUUGCAGGAAGAACUACUUCAAUAAAGUUUUAUCUGAGGGAGUCAGUCCAGGGUGACAUGGUACUCCCCAUCAUCAGGGACCCAUACUCCUUCCUGUUUGCUUCUCUGCUGUGUGUGACUUGCAUUCUCAAGUUCACUUCAUGGUGCAAGUUGGCUGUUGAUGCUUCAACCUUCCGAAAGGAAAGAGGAUGGGAGGAGAAGAGCAUGCCCAUCUCCCUUGCUCCCUUUAAGGAGACUUACUGGAAGUUUCUUGGGCCACUUCCAGUUAUAACCCAUUAGCCAGAACUUAGUCUCAUGGUUACACCUAAUUAUAAAGUAAGGUAGAGACUACAACCUAGCUAAAAUUUAGGGGGUCUGUUACCAUAAAAAAAGUAGAAUGCAUUCUUAGGAACAAUUAGCUAGUUCUGCCCCAUCAUCCUUUAGGACUCAGCUCAAAUGUCCCCUUUUUAGAGACCAUCAGAGCCCAUCCUGUCAAUAGCAGGCCUUCCAUACUUAUUAUUCACCACAUAAUCAGCUCAGUUCCAUAGAAGUGAUCUUUGUUUAUUUGCUUACUUCUACAUUUUAUGUUCUUGCUCCUCCACUACGACAAAGUUCUUUAAGUGUAGGGACCUUAUCUGUCUUGCUGCUCACCUCCAUACCCCAGUACCUUACCUUGCCUGCCACAUGGUAGAAACUUGAUAAACAUGUGGAAUAAAUGAACAAAUCAUGAAUGAGGGCCCUUAACGGAGAAAAUCAAUGAGGUAUUAGGACUAAAUACAUAAGCUCUGGGAUUAGAUAACCUUGAUUAAAAUCUUGACUCCACCUCUUAUUAGUAAUGUGACCGGGGCAGUGACUUAAGCUGUCUAAAUCUUGACUUCUUCAUUUGUAAAAAUGGAGAGGAGGGCUUUUGGGAGAAUGACAUGAGUGAAUCCAUGUGAAAUGCCUAUCUCGUUGCCUACUGGAUAGGUAAAAACAAAUGUUAACCUUUAUACAUGACCAUAAAAAUAAUUAUAGUUUUUGUUAUUAUUGGGAUCUCUCUAGUCCCAAGAUUUAAAGGAGGCAUGCCAGAGGAAGAGACCUUAGAGAUGAGCCCAGGGGAUAGGCAGGAGUUGAACAAAGAAAAAGCGUAAGGGGAGAACAUUAUAGGAAGAAACCACAUGUGCACAGGUCUUGGGGGCAGAAAGUGAUGUUAGAACUAGAAAAAAAGUCAAUGUGGGCAGAGUGAAGACAGGAAGAGUGGCAUGUAAACUGAGGCCAGAAAGGAAGACAAGGUUAGAACAUUCAGGACUUUGUAUUAUGAGCUUUAUCCCAAGUGCAAAGAGAAGCUACUGAAGGUCUCCAAGCAGGAGUGCAUAAUCAGAUUUGUAAUGUAAAUUAUGGGAUUAUUGCUCUUUAAAAAGUGGAAGAGACAUGAGCUCUCCAAUGAACACACACUAACAAAAAAUCAUGUGCAUGCACACAGUGAAGGUGAUUGUAUACAAGUCAGGAAAAGGGUCUUCACUAAGAACUUAAUCUGUCAGCACCUUGAUCUUGGACUUCCCAGCAUCCAGAACUGUGAGAAAUAAAUGUCUGUUGUGUAAGA
Long non-coding RNA from Felis catus (domestic cat), 2512 nucleotides. RefSeq lists it as uncharacterized. The record is from RefSeq and is a predicted model, not a curated record. Lineage: Eukaryota; Metazoa; Chordata; Mammalia; Carnivora; Felidae. The transcript has 2 exons.